AAAUCAACUAUUCUUGAGGACGCCCACAGAGCCUGAUACAUCGUUGACAAUAUUCGAGAUCUGAGAGUGGAUUUGGAAAAGGGAAGCGCUCUAGUAUUACACUCUCUUCCCUGUGUCUGAUGUAAAGGUGUCGUAACGUCACCUUUUUACCAUUUUGGACGAUUUUUCGGUGGUAUUUAUAUUCUUUGACUGGCGAGUCCGGCACUAAGUUUGACGGACAAAAUGGCGGCUAACAACAAGGCUUAUCAGUUCUGUUAUCUGAUUGGUCAGUUGGAACCUGUCAAUCAACACUGGCGUAAGGUCAAUUAUUAGCGCAGCGUCUUAAAUCAGUAAGCGAUUUCAUCCCUGUGAGAUACCUCAGGUAAAUAUCGAUCGGGGAAGUUUAUGAAUACACAGUGUAGCUAGCUGUUUACCGUGUACUGAUAAGGGUUUAAAGACGACACGUGUUGAUGAAAGUCUGUGUUUUCACAAGUUUGCGGUUAAUUGGAGCAGGAGUGAUUGGAUUAUAAUUAGUUAAAGAUUAUAAUUAGUCUCUGCAACGAAAUGGGAUAACAGUUGGUGACGGAGUGCAUGGGCUCUUUCAUCACUCUUCUCCCUUGAAGAAGACCGGGCAGUUAUUGAAUGGGCACAGGCGAAAGCCACCCUUACCACAGAUGAACACUUUGCGCACCAUGGAGUGGAUUGUUGGUAAUCUGUCCGAGUCUCACCCAAACAUGAGCAAAGUCGCUACAGUGGGACUGCUUCUACCAACCUCCACAGCUGAUUGUGAGAGAGGUUUCAGCAGUUGAAUGUGUAAAGACCAUCCACCAUUUACCAGUGAGCAUGAAAGUGCUUAAUGCCUUACUCAUGGUGUCCAUGCAGGGACAAAAAUUGAAUGACUUUAAUUUCAGUGGUGCAGUAAAGGAAUUGCACAGAGCCAAAGACAGACACUUACCGGUAUAUGAAAACAAAAAUGCCUAUGUGUUGUUAGUGUUAGUACAAAAGAAGUGGAAGGACAUAUGUGUUGUUUGAAAAUACAUAUAAAAGAAGUGGACAUCUGUUUAGUGUAUAUGAUAUAUUGAUGGUUAUAUGAUUAUGUAAAAAUGUAGAAGUAAUGAAAUACAUGUUGUUGUGUUUUUUUGCAUAUGGUAUACUUAAAAAAGCACCAUUUGGGUUCGAUUUUUUUUUUAAAAAAACGAACACGGGAGG
Long non-coding RNA from Mercenaria mercenaria, 1188 nucleotides. RefSeq lists it as uncharacterized. The transcript is spliced from 3 exons. NCBI's taxonomy places the organism in Eukaryota, Metazoa, Mollusca, Bivalvia, Venerida, Veneridae. The record is from RefSeq and is a predicted model, not a curated record.